Molecule: ribosomal RNA, 375 nt
Filed under: uncultured organism
Description: partial 16S ribosomal RNA
Rfam family: Bacterial small subunit ribosomal RNA
Source: RNAcentral
GUAGGUGGCAAGCGUUGUCCGGAAUUAUUGGGCGUAAAGCGCGCGCAGGUGGUUCUUUAAGUCUGAUGUGAAAGCCCCCGGCUCAACCGGGGAGGGUCAUUGGAAACUGGGGAACUUGAGUGCAGGAGAGGAAAGUGGAAUUCCACGUGUAGCGGUGAAAUGCGUAGAUAUGUGGAGGAACACCAGUGGCGAAGGCGACUUUCUGGCCUGUAACUGACACUGAGGCGCGAAAGCGUGGGGAGCAAACAGGGAUUAGAUACCCUGGUAGUCCACGCCGUAAACGAUGAGUGCUAAGGUGUUGGGGGGGGUUUCCGCCCCCUCAGUGCUGCAGCUAACGCAUUAAGCACUCCGCCUGGGAGUACGGUCGCAAGACUG